UACGUAGGGUGCAAGCGUUGUCCGGAAUUAUUGGGCGUAAAGAGCUCGUAGGCGGUUUGUUGCGUCGGCUGUGAAAUCCCGAGGCUCAACCUCGGGUCUGCAGUCGAUACGAGCAAACUAGAGUGUUGCAGGGGAGACUGGAAUUCCUGGUGUAGCGGUGAAAUGCGCAGAUAUCAGGAGGAACACCGGUGGCGAAGGCGGUUCUCUGGGCCGGUACUGACGCUGAGGAGCGAAAGCGUGGGGAGCAAACAGG
RNAcentral lists this ribosomal RNA (253 nucleotides) under uncultured bacterium. Its description in RNAcentral is "partial 16S ribosomal RNA". It matches the Rfam family "Bacterial small subunit ribosomal RNA", at positions 524 to 776 of the family's 1533-position model. The record is from RNAcentral.